Molecule: unclassified non-coding RNA, 158 nt
Filed under: uncultured Dothideomycetes
Lineage: Eukaryota; Fungi; Ascomycota; Dothideomycetes
Description: sequence contains ITS2
Source: RNAcentral
CUACCUCGAGCUUUAGGCUUGUUGUUGGGUACCGCCCGUGAGGGCGCACCUCAAAUCUAUUGGCGCCUCCGAGGGGCCCCCGAACGCAUAGAGCUCAACCGCCCGCGUUUGGAGGCCUGAUAGGGGGUGGCCUCUUUGCCUACGUGCAGCUUCCUAGC